Molecule: long non-coding RNA, 459 nt
Organism: Aphis gossypii (cotton aphid)
Lineage: Eukaryota; Metazoa; Arthropoda; Insecta; Hemiptera; Aphididae
Exons: 3
Source: RefSeq, a predicted model, not a curated record
GUUUUUUUUCCGUGUCCGUCAUCGUCAUUGCGUCAUUUGAAAUUUAAAUUUUCUUAAGUGUUAAAUUUUAAUUUGUCAAUUGUCACUUGUGAAUUUGUCAACUGUCAUCAAUACGUUUUUGCUGUCAUUUGUAUACAUGUUAAAAGCUUGACUACCCACUAUGGAUUUAUUCACAGAAAAUAUGAUGAAAUAGCUUUACUUGAUCUUACUGAAACUAUGGUUGAACAGUUAUUCCCAAAAAUGGGUCAGCGCUCUAAGUUUUUAAAACAUUUGAAAAAAUUAAAAACAGAAAGAAAUUUACCAGAGGAAAAUUCAUCAGUUAUGACUCAACAUUCAGUAAUUGAUUGGGAUAACUUAGAUGUUGUAUUAUCAGAUGAAUUAGAACAUAAUAAGUAUAAAGUAUAUCAUUUGUAUUACCUAAUUGUAAUUAAAUAACAAUAAAAUAUAUUCUUACAUUUA